ACGAUUCAGUAUUGAGAACAUGUCAUUUACUGUUGAUCAGCACAAAAGCCACAUAUAUUAAUUAGAUUCAUUCAAUCAUUCAAUAUGAGACGAGAUAGCACACUAAUUGAGGACAAUUGUGAAAUACAUUUUCUUUUUUAUUCUGGAUUAUUUUAAGUAGAAUAAGGCCAUAGGCGGAAAUCCCAGGGGGGACGGGGGGGACACGACCCCCCCAUCUUGGGAAAAAUAUGAUUUGUCCCCCCCAAUAUAUCACUGUAAACAUAACUAUGUAAUUUCAAUAAUAUUAAUAAUACGCAAUGAAAGCACUUGUGCUGAUUAUAGACACUUAAUAGCGCAUUUAAAUUUCAAAAGAUUGCGACCCCCCCCGCCCUUUGCCUCACAAUGGUUUGAUGCACUGCCAGUUCUUUAGCUGGCAAGGUAAUAGAGAGUUCGUAUCUACUGUCCGAAAGGGACAUGUACGUAACUGACGCGAGGUUAAUCCAGUCAAUCCAUAGCAGGUUCAUAGCAAUGAUAUUUAUUUAUUUUUAUGUUGGCAGGGUUCACACACUAGGGGAAUUUGCAGAGCUAGCGCGCAAACUAAAGCAAACAUUAACUAUCAAGCUAGCUAGUACCUAUUCCAUUUAUGUGGCGUCGUCAAAGAUGGAAUCUUUGCUAUCGUCAGUUUAUUCCAAGAUCAGCAUGCAGCUGUAGUGCUUCGACGUCCCUGUGAUAAGCUAGGCCAGCCAGCCAGCCAGGUAGAAAAAUGGCAGAAAAAAGUAAGAAGACGGACAUCAGAGUAUUUGUCAGUACACCAAAACGCAUAGCAGAGCAGGCAACAGAUGGCACACAGACAGCAGAGCUGGGGACAGACUGGCAGAGACAGGGAGUCUCAGGUAAGUUUGUUGAGUCUUUGUUUGGCAACAUUAUGAAAGGUUCUCAAUUUUUUUGACUUGGAAAAUAGGGACAUAAUUGGAAAAUGCCAUGGAUACCCCCACUCUCAACUUAAACUGGUGACUAAACUAAGAUUUGUUUACGGCAAUGGUAUUGCUGUUGUGAUUAAUUGUGUAGUUUUGGUUACCGGUAGUUAGGAGUACGGCAAACACCUUAUUUAUUUUCUAGGAGACCGGCUGAGUCAGUUAGGGGGGGUGAAAGGGAAAGAGCCAGGAAGAGAGACUUCAGAGGACAGUGUCACAGCCACGGCAGGACCAAGUGUCACCCUUGUUGCCAGCAGCACCAGUAUAGGGGACAGUGGCACAGCAUUGUCCAGUUACCACAGUGAUGGCACAAAACCAUAUCAGCCACACCCACAAUUUAUAGAACCGCAAACUCUUGCCAACAGAGUGUUGACGUUUCAAGAGAGAUGGUUUCGCGAUUUCCCCUGGCUACAUUAUAAUCCAUCAAUAAAAGGAGUGUUGUGUUUUCACUGUAGCCAAGGGUUUUCAAGCCAGCCAUCUUUUGGCCAAAGAGCUGAUGCUGCCUUCAUUAGUGCAGGAUUUAGGAACUGGAGAAAAGGCAUUGAAAAAUUCACAGCACAUCAAAAUUGCCAAACCCACUGCCACUUUGUAAUUGUAACAGCACACCAGCUAAAUCCAAUCAGUGUCCAGCGCGUGGGUUAAACAGCUGGAUGACGCAAGGCAUUGCUUGAUGAAAAUUGUUAGUUCGGUGCGGCAUGUAGUAAGACAGGGACAAGCCUUUAGAGGCCACACGGAUGACAGUGGGAAUUUAUACCAGAUUUUGAAACUUAGGGCAGAAGAGGAUGAUCCCAUUUUACUGAAGUGGUUAACAGAGCGUACCACAAUGUACACAGGCCCCAAAGCACAGAAUGAAAUUCUGAACAUCAUGGCCAAUAGUCAUUCGAGGCAUUGCAGCUGAGAUUAGGUCUCUUCCGAUUGUACAAUUUUCAUUAAUUGUUGAUGGUACUCAAGAUGUCUCUGGUGCUGAACAGGAGAGUGUCUGUCUGCGUUAUGUUGACCAUGACCAUGUCCCUCACAAGGAGUUUAUUGGGCUAUACAGUGUGUCGGAGACAACAGGCGAGGGCAUUGCGAAAGUGCCAACUGAUGUGUUGUUGAGGAAACCCGCAAACAUAUGCUCGGUUCUUUUGUUCAGUAGUGUGUAUAGCAGUGGUUCUCAACCUUUUUGGGGUACUGGAACCCCUGCAUAUUUUGAGGCAAGGCAGGCAAGGUUUUGAGCAGUCCUCAGGGACCUCCACCCCCUCUAUAUUAUAUGUAAACUUACUGGAAACCUUGUGGUACUGACUACAUUCAUUACACUUUUUUAUUUCACGGACCCCUUGCAAUUAGUCCAUGGACCCCUGUUUGAGAACCCCUGGUGUAAUUGAUAUUUGUUCUUUUGUUUAGUAGUUUUCAGGACACUUACAAAUGAUUUAUUUCAUGUUAUUUUAUUUAAAAUGGCCUACUUUGUGCGACAUACUUGUCCAUAGCUGCUGUUUGAAGAGUUGAGACACUGGCUGAGUUGAGACACUGGCUGAGUUGAGACACUGGCUGAGUUGAGACACUGGCUGAGUUGAGACACUGGCUGAGUUGAGACACUGGCUGAGUUGAGACACUGGCUGAGUUGAGACACUGAAGGAUAUUUUGUUUGAUUUAUUUGGGUUUUUCAUUGAAGUAGUUAUUUUGCUUUUAGAACUACUUAUUUUAAGCUUUUUGUUCUUGCAAAGAUAUUGUAGACUCAGGCCAGGUGGACAUAUUUAAUGACUAUAUAAAUGUAUCAGAAAAUGUCCAAUUAAAAGGUCAAUUCAAUACGGAGACCAACUUUGUGAUGGUUCUCAAUGGAAAUUCUUUUAGAUGUGAUCACACCAUGUUCAUUGUAUUUAUGAAAACUACACCCAUACAGUGUACAGUACCAUUGUCACCUACUGACCUUUCUUGAUAUUGCUGGUUGUAAGUACGAAUACCUGCAUACAUACUGGACUGGUAAGGAGCACUGCUAUAACUAUUAUUAGUAGUAGAAUUAUAAUGAUUUAAACAUUUGAACAAGUUGGGAAAACCCUUCAGUUAACUACUGUACCUAUCAAUUAUCCAGUUGUAGGAAUUAUGGUUCCUCAAUAUACAUUUAACAACGUAUGCUAUGUGUUACAGCACUACUUUUGGUGUCCCCCUCAGGAAUUGCUCUUGAGAAAAUUUAAUGUAAUUGUCCCCUCCAAGGUUGAUCUCAGAUUUUCGCCCCUGAAUAAGGCUACACCUGCAGGUGAAACCGCCUCAAAGGGUAUGAUGAAUCAAAAUGUCAGUUUACCUGUUUGAGAUCGCAUUACUGCAAAUCUGUUACCUUCGCCGUGGCUGUGGAGUGGGUAGAGUUACGGGAUGUAAAAUCAUAUUGUAAUAUAUUAGCCAAUAAUGAGGUUAAAUUGUUUUACAACAUGUAAUUAAACUGUAAUGUUAGAAUAUAAACAGCUCUUUUAUGAAUGAUAGAAAAUUCCUAUUUUAUGAAUUUCACAUUAGAAAAUACAUACACUAAUUUUCCCAUUCAUCUAUGUAAUAUUCACCAUAUCCAUAAGAUCACAAUCGGUCUUACAGUGCAUCAAUUAUUUCAUUUCUAUGUUUAUGUUAUACUUACAAUAUUUGAGGGUCAUAAAUUUGAUUCUCUUCAUGUAUUAUUUCUACAGAUGAGGAAAAGCGGGACAAUUGUAUUUAAUGGCACAUACACUACACUGACUGAUUCUGUACAAUUAUUUCACAAAUCAAAGUGGAAAACUAAAGAAUUAAGUAUAUUGAUUUAGCUUUAGUGCUACAUGACAAAUUUAUUUCAUGACAUUGUACAGGUUGAUUAGUGUAACAUGUAAUACAUAUGUAAUACAUUUCAUAAUAUUUAAUACAGUGCUACUCACUGGUUUUCCUCCUGCACCACAGGCAGAAAGCGGAGAAAACACUGAGCGAUGCCACAGACACAAUGGUGUUGGCCAAACUUGUUCCUUAUUCAGCUGUAACGGCACAAAUCUCCUGCUCACCCAAGGUUGUCUUAAAAAGAAUGUAGAAAACCCCUCACAUGGUAUAAAUUGCUGUGUUCCUUGUGUUCCUGUAAAGAACCUAAGCCUACAGAUAACCACAGCACUAUAGCCAAAUGCCAUUGUGUCAAGUCUUGACAGUUUUCAAGAAAAGGUUAUGAUGGUAUUAUAUUCAAUACACACCCCUGUUAGUUCAGUGAUACAGUAUCUGCAUCAGAAGAUAAGAACACUACCAGCUUUAAAACAUUUAGGCUUAUGUAUACAGUUAAACAGAAAUAGUUACAUUGUUUUAAUUGCACUAAACUUUAACAUCAUACUCUUUUUCACACAUUCACCUGAACAUCAUCCAUGAUUGCUGGUUAAUCUUUUGGACAUUUCAAAACAGACUUCUGAAGUGGUACAAAGUGGUACGUUAUUGAAAGCUAUGAAUAUAAUCAAAUCAAUCUUCACCUUAGUGUGAGGAUGAAAAUAACACAAAAUAAUAAGUCUAAAAUUGAACCACUUCAAAUAGUCUAUCUUUCCCCAACUAAGCUGCUCCUACAGUCUUAAACAUGAGACAAUAGAAGUACAUGUAUUGUGUUGUUCUCACCUUCAGUAAAGCCUCUUCAGGCCACCUCCAUUUCACUGACAGCUCCACUUAUAGACAGGCUGCUGUGACAGAGCUGUUAAGGGGGAGAGUAGAACGAGCUUCCUGUUUCUAACUGAACUCCACACCACAUCCGUCCUGAUCAGCAGGCUGGACAGAGAGUCUGGUGGACAACCUCUGAAGGGUGCCCUACAUCACUGUAGUUCAAUGAAGGUGCGAGAAAUGACACCGUUCAGCGAGGUGCUUUAGUGACAGUGCCCUGAUGCACAUAGAACAUGGUUUUUAAAUGGACUUUGGAAUUUGCUUUGUCGUAACUGUGGAAAUAUUUCAGUGCUCUUCACUACAGGUCCUAGGGGUCCUCACAUUGCAGGUGCUGUAGUGUGGCCCUCUGGGACCAGGGAUGAAAAACACUAUGCAUUGCAAUACAGCUUGAAGUAAAAAGUAUGUUCUUCAUGGAAACAAUGCUAAUGACUGUGGCAGAAAAACACUUGUCGCUGUAGUUUAUGAAGACGUCUGUGGAGAAAACAUCCAGUUAUAAAGAGAAAUGUUUCCAAACAGAUGCACUUAUUAUGUGAUUAGGUUACUACCAAUGAUGUAUAUAAACCCUGGAUUGCUGAUUAUAUGUAUUGGCCAAUGAGAAGCUUUGAAGCCACUAGUCGCCAUAUUGGUACUACUCAGAAGGAGCAGUCCUCAAUAGGAAUGAAUGUAAUUCUACAGUAUUUCAAUAAAAUGUUUCAAGGACAAAAUUACAUGUAAUUAACUUUUUCUUUGUUGUAGUGGGGACAGUAACAUUCAGGGCCAGAUUAAUGUAGGGGUAUACAGGCGCACAAAAAACAGUAAGUCGCUCUAAGAGCUUCUGUUAAAUAGCUAGAAUGUUAAAUAAAUGCAUUUUUCAAUGUACUUUGUGUACAAUACAGAACACAUUUAUUGUGUACAACAUGACAAUACACUUAUUGUAUGUACAAUGUAAUCUGAGUAGAAAAGUGGCUGCGCAGUGGCUCCAAAACAGCGCCCCCUGGCAGUCAUCUAGGGUACAUUGACAUCAUUGGUUAUUACAGAGGUGUAAACCAGCUGGCAUAGCCUACCGCCUGUUUGUAGUCCUAGAAACUGGAACUGAUUUAUUUACAUAUGAUUCAUUCAGCCAUUCCUUUGGAGAAAAUUAAUAGGUAAAGAAUAAGGUUUUGGGAUAAACGCCGAAAAUAAGGUCUGAGGUUAAAACAAGCUAAGUUUUGCUCUAUAAUAUAAUAUCAGUCAAUUAACAUGACCUUUAUGAAUUAUGAAGCCUUUGUGCUUUUUCUUUACUCUGCCUAUAUAAAUAAUUCAAAAUUCACAAAAAGUUGACGUUAGCUGAGGAAGAUUAUCUCAUAGAACAAAACGUAUAAAAAAUUCUAAGCCUGGGUUUACCACAUACCUUAUUUUCAGUGUUUAUCCAAAAACCCU
Molecule: long non-coding RNA, 5966 nt
Organism: Salvelinus fontinalis (brook trout)
Lineage: Eukaryota; Metazoa; Chordata; Actinopteri; Salmoniformes; Salmonidae
Exons: 4
Source: RefSeq, a predicted model, not a curated record